CCACCUGGCUCCCUGUGAGAUCAGCUCCCAACACGACCCCCAGGCCAAGACGGCAGCUCGCUCCGAGAGGGAUACAGGCCAGAGUUUCCUGAAUCUGUACCAUUUGUCC
Molecule: non-coding RNA, 109 nt
Organism: Ceratotherium simum simum (southern white rhinoceros)
Lineage: Eukaryota; Metazoa; Chordata; Mammalia; Perissodactyla; Rhinocerotidae
Source: RefSeq, a predicted model, not a curated record